RNAcentral lists this ribosomal RNA (473 nucleotides) under uncultured organism. Its description in RNAcentral is "partial 16S ribosomal RNA". It matches the Rfam family "Bacterial small subunit ribosomal RNA", at positions 333 to 797 of the family's 1533-position model. The record is from RNAcentral.
ACACUCCUGCGGGAGGCAGCAGUGGGGAAUUUUGGACAAUGGGCGAAAGCCUGAUCCAGCAAUGCCGCGUGAGUGAAGAAGGCCUUCGGGUUGUAAAGCUCUUUUGUCAGGGAAGAAACGGUGAAAGCUAAUAUCUUUUGCUAAUGACGGUACCUGAAGAAUAAGCACCGGCUAACUACGUGCCAGCAGCCGCGGUAAUACGUAGGGUGCAAGCGUUAAUCGGAAUUACUGGGCGUAAAGCGUGCGCAGGCGGUUUUGUAAGUCUGAUGUGAAAUCCCCGGGCUCACCCUGGGAAUUGCAUUGGAGACUGCAAGGCUAGAAUCUGGCAGAGGGGGGUAGAAUUCCACGUGUAGCAGUGAAAUGCGUAGAUAUGUGGAGGAACACCGAUGGCGAAGGCAGCCCCCUGGGUCAAGAUUGACGCUCAUGCACGAAAGCGUGGGGAGCAAACAGGAUUAGAAACCCUGGUAGUCCCA